GUGAAUCAUCGAAUUUUUGAACGCAAAUUGCACUCUCUGGUAUUCCGGGGAGUAUGCCUGUUUGAGGGUCGUUAGAAUAAUAAAUCGAAGCGUUGGUCUUUUUUUUAAGGGUGAUGGAGUCGGAUUUGAGUCGUCUUUUAAAUGUUAAUUCAUGUGAAAGUGGAUUAAAGUUCAUCCAUCCGGUACGAUUAAAGAGUAUUUAAGAUCCACUUUGAUUAUGAACGUGCGAUGAUCGUACCAGCUCAUG
This 247-nucleotide unclassified non-coding RNA is filed under the name Glomeraceae sp. RNAcentral's name for it is "partial contains 5.8S ribosomal RNA and internal transcribed spacer 2". The stretch from base 1 to 71 matches the Rfam family "5.8S ribosomal RNA", at positions 84 to 154 of the family's 154-position model. Lineage: Eukaryota; Fungi; Glomeromycota; Glomeromycetes; Glomerales; Glomeraceae. The record is from RNAcentral.